Molecule: ribosomal RNA, 512 nt
Filed under: uncultured bacterium
Lineage: Bacteria
Description: bacterial SSU rRNA
Rfam family: Bacterial small subunit ribosomal RNA
Source: RNAcentral
GACGAACGCUGGCGGCGUGCUUAACACAUGCAAGUGGAGCGACGAAGCGGGCUUCGGCCCGUGGCAGAGCCGCGAACGGGUGAGUAACACGUGGGUAACGUGCCCCAAUGACUGGGACAACCCGGGGAAACCCGGGCUAAUACCGGAUGUACUCCUUCCACAUCAGUGGAUUGAGUAAAGGUAGCUUCGGCUUCCGCAUUGGGAUCGGCCCGCGGCGCAUUAGCUUGUUGGUGGGGUAAAGGCCUACCAAGGCAACGAUGCGUAGCUGGUCUGAGAGGACGAUCAGCCACACUGGGACUGAGACACGGCCCAGACUCCUACGGGAGGCAGCAGUGGGGAAUCUUGCGCAAUGCGCGAAAGCGUGACGCAGCAACGCCGCGUGAGGGAAGACGGCCUUCGGGUUGUAAACCUCUUUCAGGAGGGACGAAGCCUGGCUGGUGAAUAGCCUGUCCAGGUGACGGUACCUCCACAAGAAGCCCCGGCUAACUACGUGCCAGCCGCCGCGGUAAAAC